Molecule: long non-coding RNA, 3043 nt
Organism: Chroicocephalus ridibundus (black-headed gull)
Lineage: Eukaryota; Metazoa; Chordata; Aves; Charadriiformes; Laridae
Exons: 5
Source: RefSeq, a predicted model, not a curated record
UGGGACCGCGGAGGGGAGCGGGGCUGUGAGGGAACCCGCCGCCGUCAGCGGCAGGCCGAGGCGGCCGGGCGGCCCCCUCGUGGCGGGCAGUCGCGGCCUGCUGCCGCCCGAGGGGUGCCACUGAGGCGCCGAGGUGGGCUGAGGGGAGGCCCGAGGGAGAGCGGGAGUGUUGGGAGCGGGCGGGCGUGCAGACUCCCGCCUUUGGGCUUUUGUUGUUAAUCCUUCAUCUUUACUGACCCGGUCUCUCAGCUCUCAGGUUUUGGGAAUUUUGUUUGCAUCCUCUGUGGGUUUCAGCGUUAUUUUUAUAAUGUGGAUACCAGAGCUUUAUGCAGUUUCAAUAUUCACUCCAUUAGUGCUACACACAAAGUCACAGCAUCACAUUGAAUACUUACGGUGAGGUGCUUUGCUGCUAGAGUUUCUUCAGAUGAAAAUGAUCCAGAAGAUCCUUUGUAAGUGACAUGCUGCAAAUGAAGAGCUGGACACACUUGAUUGGAGGAAACAAGACUGCAACUUUAUUUAGCAACAAUAACUGUGCAAGAGGAGCAGGCAGACGAUUCUUGCCAAGUUCUCUUCUUGCUGUUCCUCCGUGUGACCUACAAGCCAGUGAGCAUCCACUGUGGUUUGAAAGGAGCCACUGAACGUUGUAAGACCAAACCAUCUCUUCAGAGAUUGCAUUCUUUUUGUGUCAUUAUAAUGGCACAAAAUGACAGAAAUUGUGUAAAAAUUGCAUGCUGGAGCUUGAUCAACCAAAUCAGACGUGCAAUGAUGCCAACGAAGGGAAAAGGCAAAACAAACAAACAAACUGGAGUCCAUUGACUCUAUUGCUGCCGAUUUCAAUAUUGGUUUACUCGCAGCAGAGCCAUUUUCAACUUGCAGCGUUUUAAUGAAUUCAAAACAAAGGGAAUCCAAACAAAUAAAGAAUUGAGGGGUGCACGUAGUACACCUUAUUUACUGCUUUUAUUGAAAAGAGACGUUAAGGCUGACCUGAAGGCAUAGUUCUGUGCAAUGCCAGAUCUUUUGUAGGUCCAAUACCACGCCUGAUUGUUUAUCCCUGACAUUUGUAAGGGGUGAGAGCGCUGUGUGGGCAGCAUGCUGAGCUGUUAAAAGUGUGUGCGGAGCACCCCAUGUCAAUCACCAACAACGUUCCAGCUGUUUGAGGACCACACUGACCAAAUCCCACGGGAGCUCUGCCUCAUCUUCCCCUCUAAUAAAGGAGAAGGACAGAUCUCUGGAGUGCUAUGAUGAGAAUGAAAAAAAGUAACUGGGAAAUCCUCCAGAAUCGAGAGAAAAUGUGGAUCACUGCAUGUUGAGUGGGAGAGAGCAACAAACGCUACAGUCAUUUUGGAUGUGGAUGCAGUUUUGUUGAAAGGCUCCAUGACAGUCGCCGUGUGAAUUAGCGAGCCCAAGUCUGAGUUCUGACUCUUGCUUUGUUUUCCAGCUCAGUAAUUAGCAACACUUAACGUGCUCAGGUCUGUUGUAGUUGAGAACUGAUGACUAUUAAGGCAGCCCCUCUGAUACUGGGCAGCUUGAUAGCUAUUGGUGGGAGCCCCAACUUCCCAUGGAAACUGGACAACAAAAGGAAAACAUGAAGUAAUUUAUGUAAGCUGAAACAACAUUACAGAAUAAAAGAUAAAGAGAACCUUAUACCUCAAGUAUCCUUUCCACCUGUUGAUCCAGAGAGGAAAAAGAAUAUGGGAUCUAGAUUGUGAGGCUGAGAUAGGAAAAUAAUGGCGGUAUGGUAUUGAAAAACAUAGUUUUCUCUCAUGCUUAUACAUUAAGUUCUGUCUAAUGCAAAAUUUGGCAGCUAAUAGUAUGGGCCUUUGAAGGACUGAUCCUUGCUCUCUUUUCAGUACAGAAAAACUGGAGUUGGUACAUGGGAAUAAUGCAUAAUAAAGUAUUGAUCAAAAAAUAUAUUAAUAAAGAAACCCAGGUGGACUACUGCAAGAAGUGGUCAGACAUAUAACACAGAUGAUCAUACACAUCUACUUGAAUUUCUUUUUUGUUGUACAGCAUGCCUUCUUAGAAGAAAAAAGUACACUUGUGGUUUUUUUUAAAAUUAGAUAUUUUAUUAUAAUGUUUGGUAGUCAUUCCAGUGGAUUGUUUCCUUUGCUCUGGAGGUUUAUUCUGGUGUUAGAACUGGAGUUUAUUCUGAUUACUAAUGUCUGCUUUUGUGUCUGCAUGUUAGAUCAUCUAUGCCUUUAUCUGUUACACUGCAGAUUUUUACUUAUCAACGUUCAUUUUCGCUGUAGCUGUAUACAGAGUAAAUCCAGAGGUUCAUCUCACCUAACACUAACCUAAUAUCAUUAUCUGAAAGUUAGGUGGUAGUCUAAGAUAGUUGUUUGGAGUCCCCAUUUAGGCAGAGGAGAGAGAGAAGCACCUCUUAGAGGUGGUCCAUCUGGUCCGGCUAUGUGACUAGGUUAGACUGGAUGGCUGAUGUUGGCUGGAAUGCUUUCUACUUUGAAGUGUCGCAUUUACUUCUAUAAGCAAAAUACUUCUGGUGGUCUUUUAGUCUUUUACUAAGUAAUUUUUCAAACCUUUUAUCAUUAUGAAGAAUCUUCUUCAUCUUUUUCUCUUUGUUUCCAUUAUUCCUGGUUUGUGAACACCAUAACACAGUAUUGAGGUAGUGACCAGGCUAAUGCCAUCAGAAGGCACAGAGUCUUAUAGAUCCUCUAAUUUUUUUGUCCCUAAUAUUUCUGUGCUGUAUUCUUUCCUUCUAUAUGCAAAGAUUAUGUUAGCCUUAGCAGAAUAAGUGCUUCCUCUCACUGUGAUUUCUAUCACCGUGAUUGCUGUUUCCAUAUGCUCCAAAUAAAAGCAAAGCAAAGGAAGCUCAUUUGAAAUGCACAACUUUUCAGUAAACUACAUCAAAGGUUGUAAAAAUCAUUCUGUUUUCAUUCCGGGCAGAAUCCUAUUUUGUGCUUAACAUUUUCCUCCUGCCUUUCUGUAAAUGCUCUGUUUGUGAAAUAAAGCCAAGGGUAUUAAUAUCUAAAAUUAGGCUAGAGUUACAUUUGGAUUUGCUUCUAAAUACACAUAUGCUAAUAUGUAU